CCUCACCCGGCUUUGUGCCGCCGCCACCGUGCCCCACCGUCGCUUCCGCCUCUGUGCCCUGCUAACUGUCGUCACGUUCUUAUAAGGUGAGUUCGCUCGCUGCCUUUUAUGUUUAAAGUCAUGUCUCCUUUAUCAUUGGAUAUAUGCCUGCAAACUGUUUGAUGAUUUGGUUGAAAGAAUAAUCUAUUACUUCAAUAAAUGGCUACAAAUAGUGUAUCCGGUUUUUUUAGGAGAAAUCCCCAUUAGUUAGUAUAUUAAGAAUUAAAGAAAACUAAUUAAUGUAGAAACAAUAUAUAACAAAAAUUGCUUUGAUUUCGAUCUUAUUAGUUUCUUUAGUUUGAUUCAAAUUCCAUAAAAUUAUUUAUAUACAUAACUGAUAUUAUGACUAAAUGAGUCAUGUGAUAUACCAUUAAGUUUACUUAUUCUUCCCAGGUUGAAAUCUAAUAGUAGUUGUUCCAUAAAAUAAUUAGACCAAAGAAAAGAAUUAAUGAUUGGUUAGCCAUAAAGAAUGCACGAUUUGUUAUAUGCUAUCUGUUUUGAUGUUGAAAAGCAUAAGGCAAUACAUUUUUUUGUGGGUUAUUAUUGACAUCUUGUCAACUGGAAAAUAAAAGAUUUAAAAUGCAGUUGUUGCUCUCUCAUAAUUUGUGCCUGUUAGUGUUGAUAGUGUUUCAUAACAGUUGUUACGCUUUCAUAAUUUUUGCUUCCAUUAGUGUUGUAGAUACUUUGACACAAUUUCACAUAUUGCUAGUAGUCAUUCUAGAUUAUUAGUGCUAAUUAAUCAAAAUAAUAGUCUUCACCCGUGAAACCAAUAUGUCAAUCCUUCCCAUGAGUUAUCAUUCCCUUUUUUUAAGUUGUUGGAUUAUCCUCCAUGAGGUAUCAUUUUUUUUAUAUAUAUUAAGUCUACCUGCAGCUAGUCAGUUGAUAGUAGACUGCUUUUGAGUGGAAGAAAAGACUCAACUCUUAAGGUAAUUGUCCCUUUCGAUAAUUGAAUGUGCCUGUAAUAAAUUUUAUUUUGUAAGAGAAUGUGGUCGUGCUGAGUUGCAAGAUAAUGUAUGUUCAGUCUAUUGGUAUAGAAUGAUUGCAUAAAGGUAUGUAUACUAGAAGAUAUGGCGUGUGUUUUCAUGUCUACUUCGAUUUUAUUUGUGUAAAAUAGUUCCUUAUUAAGGGAUUGAUGCGCCAAUGCUUGGGUUCUUUUGCAUUUGAUCAUUCUAUUUUUCUUGAUUCAGCUGCAGUUUGAUGCGUAUAUACAUGGCAACCUUUUCUUAGUCAGUUAUGAAUUUCUCAGGUUCUUCCUUCAUUUUUCUUGUUGUACAGACAUGCAAAAAUAUGUUAUGUUUUGUUUAACCUUGAUAUAACUUUGCAUUUGGUUCUAUACUACCUAUUUCAGAUGGUUGAUAAUUAUUUAUUUAUUAAAUAUAGGUUGAUAAUUAUUCUCCUCUAAACUUGUAUUCUUAUGAUUUAAAGUUUUUAGUGAUUCAAUUGUGGUUAUUCUCACCACUCGCAUACAAGUUUGGCCAACAAUGGUGAGGAUAUGUUAUAAAAAAUAUAAGUUAUUUUGCAGGAUAUAAUAAAGAAUGUUAUAUAUAUUUGUUAACACGUAAUAUGUUUCAAGUGGAUCACAAUGACUAUUUUAAAGAGUCUUUCUAGUUAAGUAUGAACCAAAUAGCCACUUGCUAAUAUAAUCACAAAACUGGAAAAAUGGAAAAUUGAACUAAAUAGUUGGAAUAUCAAAACAAUGAGUUAGGAGAACUUUUGAAUUUAAUGAGAUUAAAUAUGCUAUUCUUAUUUGCAUGAACUCUUCAUUGCUCUAUGCUAACUUAAAUUUUUUUUGUUUCUUAGGGCCACUCGGAGCUUAUUUCUGUUUGAAGGAGAAAAAAAGCAACAAGUGUAUAUUUUGAAUUAAUGAUAGGAUUCAAUUUGUUUAAUUUGUAAUAGAUAUGUUGCAAUUCAUUGGGGUGAACUUAAAUUGAAACGAAUGUAUUGGAAUUUUUUGAAUUGAUUGUGUUGUAAUGACUAAUGAAUAUGAUUGUGGCAUUGUAAACUUUAAUAAAUAUU
This 2055-nucleotide long non-coding RNA is filed under the name Salvia miltiorrhiza (redroot sage). RNAcentral describes it as "long non-coding RNA (SMIL_LNC000030)". The record is from RNAcentral. Lineage: Eukaryota; Viridiplantae; Streptophyta; Magnoliopsida; Lamiales; Lamiaceae.